Molecule: ribosomal RNA, 253 nt
Filed under: uncultured bacterium
Lineage: Bacteria
Description: partial 16S ribosomal RNA
Rfam family: Bacterial small subunit ribosomal RNA
Source: RNAcentral
UACGUAGGGGGCAAGCGUUGUCCGGAAUCAUUGGGCGUAAAGAGCGUGUAGGCGGCCCGAUAAGUCCGCUGUGAAAGUCCAGGGCUCAACCCUGGGAUGCCGGUGGAUACUGUCGGGCUAGAGUCCGGAAGAGGCGAGUGGAAUUCCUGGUGUAGCGGUGGAAUGCGCAGAUAUCAGGAGGAACACCGAUGGCGAAGGCAGCUCGCUGGGACGGUACUGACGCUGAGGCGCGAAAGCGUGGGGAGCGAACAGG